This 1135-nucleotide ribosomal RNA is filed under the name uncultured Micromonas. Its description in RNAcentral is "partial Bacterial large subunit ribosomal RNA". It matches the Rfam family "Bacterial large subunit ribosomal RNA", at positions 27 to 1256 of the family's 2925-position model. Lineage: Eukaryota; Viridiplantae; Chlorophyta; Mamiellophyceae; Mamiellales. The record is from RNAcentral.
GAUGCCUUGACUAUAUAUCAUGAAUGGGCGUUAAAUUAUGCGAAAAGUUGUAUCUAAGACAAAUCGUGAGAAAGGUACAAAUACCCAUCGUGGAAAACCACAUAAAGAUUCACACAAAGGGAACUGAAACAUCUUAGUACCUUUAGGAAAAGAAAUCAACCGAGAUUCCGUGAGUAUCGGCGAGAGAAAGCGGAACAGGCAAUUUCUAUAUAUUUGUGCAAAACAUGUCUGGGAAGCAUGACCAAAGAAGGUAAAAGUCCUGUAUGAUGAAAAUAUAUAGAGUAAAAAAGUAAAACAUGUUAAAGUGUUUGAAGAUAGGAGAACCACCUUCUAAGCCUGAAUAUGAUAUAUAGAUCGAUAGUGUACAAGUACCGUGAGGGAAAGGUGAAAAGCACCCCGAUGAGGGGAGUGAAACAGACCCUGAAACCGGACGUCUACAAUCAGUGGGAGGGGGUAACCCCGACCGCGUACCUUUUGUAUAAUGGGUCAGCGACUUAAUCUGGCGAGCGAGCUUAAGCCGUUAGGCGUAGGCGCAGCGAAAGCGAGUCUUAACUGGGCGCUUGAGUUCGUCGGAUUAGACCCGAAGCCGGGUGAUCUAGCCAUGGGCAGGCUGAAGGUGGGGUAACACCCACUGGAGGGCCGAACCCGAGAACGUUGAAAAGUUCCGGGAUGACCUGUGGCUAGGGGUGAAAGGCCAAUCAAACUCGGCAAUAGCUGGUUCUCCGCGAAAGCUAUUUAGGUAGCGCGUCGUGUCUCGCCUUCGGGGGUAGAGCACUGGAUGGGCUAGGGGGCCGCGAGGCUUACCAAACCUAACCAAACUCCGAAUACCGAAGAGCGCAAUCACGGCAGACAGACCAUGGGUGCUAAGGUCCGUGGUCGAGAGGGAAACAGCCCAGACCGCCAGCUAAGGUCCCCAAGUUACGGCUAAGUGGGAAAGGAUGUGGGAAGGCCAAGACAACCAGGACGUUGGCUUAGAAGCAGCCAUCGUUUAAAGAAAGCGUAAUAGCUCACUGGUCUAAAUAAGCCGUCCUGCGCCGAAGAUGUACCGGGGCUCAAGCCGUACACCGAAGCUGCGGAUGUCUUUCUUCUUCGGAAGGGAGGCGUGGUAGCGGAGCGUUCCGUAGGCCUGUGAAGG